This is a long non-coding RNA of Pipistrellus kuhlii (Kuhl's pipistrelle), 326 nucleotides long. RefSeq lists it as uncharacterized. NCBI's taxonomy places the organism in Eukaryota, Metazoa, Chordata, Mammalia, Chiroptera, Vespertilionidae. The record is from RefSeq and is a predicted model, not a curated record. The transcript has 3 exons.
UGCAGCUUUCCCCGGGGCUGUAUCCUCUCACCCUUCUGAGUUCUAGUCCCAGCUUGUCCUUUCCGUCGUUCUUGACAUCAGCAUUCCUCUCCUUAGACUCUCAACAUUUUGGUUCAGAUUCUAGCAAUUUUAAUCAAUCAAUCUCUCUCUCUCUCUCUCUAUCUUCUCUCUCUACAUUGUGAUCGGAUGGCUAGGCCUGUCCUGGUGAGACAGGAGGGAAAGGACUGAUUAAAACCUUCUCCUCUGGGGGUGAGGCUGGCGUUCUGGGCCACUGGCUCUUCAUGAGCACCUUCACAGGGAGGAUGUCCUCUGUGGUCACUCUGCCC